GACGAACGCUGGCGGCGUGCUUAACACAUGCAAGUCGAACGGUGAAGCGCCUUCCUUUUUGGUGGGUGUGGAUGAGUGGCGAACGGGUGAGUAACACGUGAGUAACCUGCCCCCUUCUUCUGGAUAACCGCAUGAAAGUGUGGCUAAUACGGGAUAUUCUGGGUCUGUCGCAUGAUGGGUCUGGGAAAGAUAUUGUUUCGGUGGGGGAUGGGCUCGCGGCCUAUCAGCUUGUUGGUGGGGUGAUGGCCUACCAAGGCGGUGACGGGUAGCCGGCCUGAGAGGGUGGACGGGCCCACUGGGGAUGGGGCCCGGGCCAGACUUCUAAGGGGGGGAGGCGGGGGGAAUAAUGGACAAUGGGGGGAAGGCUGAAGCAGGGACGGCGCGGGGGGGAUGGAGGCCUUCGGGUUGUGAACCUCUUUCGCCAGUGAAGCAGGCCUGCCUCGUUUGUGGGUGGGUUGACGGUAGCUGGAUAAGAAGCGCCGGCUAACUACGUG
This 494-nucleotide ribosomal RNA is filed under the name uncultured bacterium. RNAcentral describes it as "partial 16S ribosomal RNA". It matches the Rfam family "Bacterial small subunit ribosomal RNA", at positions 28 to 507 of the family's 1533-position model. The record is from RNAcentral.